CCCUUAGAUGUCUUGGGCCGCACGCGCGCUACACUGAUGCAUUCAACGAGUAUUUCCUUGGCCGAGAGGCCUGGGCAAUCUUUUAAACCUGCAUCGUGAUAGGGAUAGAUUAUUGCAAUUAUUAAUCUUGAACGAGGAAUUCCUAGUAAACGCAAAUCAUCAAUUUGCAUUGAUUACGUCCCUGCCCUUUGUACACACCGCCCGUCGCACCUACCGAUUGAAUGGUCCGGUGAAAUCUCGGGAUUGUGGCCAGUUCACUUUAUUGGGAGUUGGCUGCGAGAACUUGCUUAAACCUUAUCAUUUAGAGGAAGGUGAAGUCGUAACA
Molecule: ribosomal RNA, 325 nt
Filed under: uncultured eukaryote
Lineage: Eukaryota
Description: partial 18S ribosomal RNA
Rfam family: Eukaryotic small subunit ribosomal RNA
Source: RNAcentral